AGCAGCCGCGGUAAUUCCAGCUCCAAUAGCGUAUAUUAAAGUUGUUGCAGUUAGAAAGCUCGUAGUUGAAUUUCGGGAUCAAUUUAUCGGUCGUGCCUAUGGUAUGAACUGGUACAAUUGGUUUCUCCCUUCUGACGAAGCAUGAUGUCAUUAAUUUGGUGUCGUGGGGAAUCAGGACUGUUACUUUGAAAAAAUUAGAGUGUUUAAAGCAAGCAUUAGCUUGAAUACAUUAGCAUGGAAUAAUGAAAUAGGACGUUUGAUCCUAUUUCGUUGGUUUCUAGGAUCGACGUAAUGAUUAAUAGGGAUAGUUGGGGGCAUUAGUAUUCAAUUGUCAGAGGUGAAAUUCUUGGAUUUAUUGAAGACUAACUACUGCGAAAGCAUUUGCCAAGGAUGUUUUCAUUAAUCAAGAACGAAAGUUAGGGGAUCGAAGACGAUCAGAUACCGUCGUAGUCUUAACCAUAAACUAUGCCGACUAGGGAUCGGAUGAUGUUAAUUUUUUAAUGACUCA
Molecule: ribosomal RNA, 508 nt
Filed under: uncultured fungus
Lineage: Eukaryota; Fungi
Description: SSU rRNA
Rfam family: Eukaryotic small subunit ribosomal RNA
Source: RNAcentral